GCAUGGGAGACGAGCGAGGGAGGACCGCGGAGCGCGCCCGCCGCGGACGGGGCCCGCUGCCCGGCCUCGGCGGCCGCCAACUCCCUCCUCCUCCGAAUCCUCCUCCUUCACCGCCGCCGCGAGGCCGCCGGCCGCCGAGCGCGAGCGGGAGGUGGAAUCUGACUGCCAGGGCGCAUCCCUCUCCAGGGUUGAGGCCCAAGAGCGGAGCCGAGCACCCCACCCAGGUCCCACCUGAGACCCCUGAAGGGGCAGAAAAGAGAGAAACCACCACGAGGAGACCGGACAGCGAACCAGGGACCCGCCGGAGGACGUUUAAGGGGUUUGAGGAGACUGUUGCGUUGCCCCUAAUCAGUUGAGAGCUUUGGGUAACGAGGGGAUGAAAAGAUCUGGCAAAUACUUCUCUAAGUGUGGGAGGGUGAGGCUGGAGCGGCACUGUGCAUUCAGGUGAGCCAUCCAGCACGCAACAAACAGGCGUUGUAAUUCUUAAAACCACCCACCCGCAUUCCAGACAAAGGACCCACAAGAAGAGGUGACUGCUUCCCCUGCUCCCAUCCCUCCCCCUGCCCAGCAAUGUGCUGGUAAAUAAAUGUUGAACAACCAGAUCUGGAGGCGGGAGAUCUCAGCUGUGACAAAACCCAGUUUAUGUGGUGCCAGUGUUCCCACCGACCCACGGCAGAGCUGGGAAGAGAUGCGCGCACCAGCUCUCGGGCCUGUAAGGGCCAGCCCUGGCACACCUCUGCAUCAGCUCUUUGUCAGAUGCCUUCAGAAUGCGGCCAUAAUUCAAGGUGCACAAACAACCGCAGCUCUUUCCAUCCUGUUCCCACUUGCUGCCAGUUGUCUGUCUAUUAUCAAAUGACCCCGAGGAGAGAAUCUGUCACCAUUGUCCUUUUAGGGGAAAGCUCUCCUUGGAGGCUAUCUCGAAGCCACUGAGCAGCCCAUAGGCUGGCUACCUCUGAGCCAGGUGUCCUCUCCUACUCCAUCUGUGGCUAGGAUGGACGGCUCACAUGCUAGACAACAUGGUCACCCAUGCUGAAGAAACAGACUGCGUUGCUACCUGCUUAGGGGGUUGUGGUCGGGGCGGCCUCUUUCGAAAGGAGGCUGUAAGCACGACAGGUUUUCAAGCGGUGGUCUCUCUGACGUACUGUUCUCAGCUCUUCAGUGAGAUCCUCUCGGCCACUACACAGAGCUUUGGGACAGCUUCUCCGCCACAUACCCCAAGGAAUAUCUUGGGUAGGUGCCAACAACUGCAAACAGGAGAAUGGACAGGUUAGGACUGGAUAGGAUUCAAAAGCCCCUCAUUUAGGGGGAGAAACCCUAUUAAGUUCAGUGAACAUUUAUCAAGUGCCGUUGUUUCAAACCAAUAGUGAUGAUUGGAGAGUAAGGAAAUCAUCUCAUAGGAGGAUGUCAUAGACGAUCCAGGAGAAGGGUUUCCAGACUACACUCAAUCCAAACUCCACAGAUUCUGCUUUCCUAAUCUGAGAAGUAGAACGGCGUGACUCAGCUCUGCCGAGAACACUUCUAUACUGGUAGAAGCGUGCCCCUUGCCUCAAUGUGCUGGGGUGGGAGUGGGGUCGAGGAGAACUAUUCUCAACAACGUGAGGGACACAGAGUCAAUGCUGACUGGCUCACGGAGACACUUGAAAUCUUCUUUUACACAGUGGAAGCCAUCCCUUUUGUUAAUUCUGGAGAUAGUUGAUGUAUUCCCAUGAUGGAUGCGCUACCUGAUUCUCCCAGCUUUGGAUAGGUGGCUGCGCUACAACAAACAAUAACUAUUUUGACAAGAUUUUCAAUAUUGUAGACCAUUAAAUAAUCCUCUCUAGACCAGCAAAGCUGCUUGACUGUUAGCAAGAUCGUAUCACAUAAAGUGAUAUAUGCUACAUCAACCAUAUACACAUACAGAAGAAAAGAGAGCGAAGGGGAAGGAGCGAGAAUGAACAGUUGAAACUGCACAGGAAAAUUCUAAUGGGAGACUUGAUUCUACUUUCAUUCAGUCUCUUAGUGCUUCUUCUGUCGAGAGCAUCUAACCCCACAGUGUGCGCAUCCAGUGUUUACAGGUGCUAGUGUCUCACCCAUGGAGGCUGAAAGGUCAAAAUGACAAGGAGAAAGCAGCCUGGUUUCAACCCACUCCUUUUGUAAACAGAGGGGCAGACUAGGAUUCGGAACUGAUGAUCACGCGUACCCAAGAACAGCCCAUGGUAAAACCAGAAGGCCCACAGUGCAUACGGCUGGGGAGCAUUCUGGAGAAGACAGGUGGAGGAAAUACUAAGGUCAGCCUUGAUGAUCGACCCGUGGCUUAGCGAAGGCUGCCUCGGAGCAGAAGUGAUAUCAGUUUACCUAUCUAUUAAAUCACCAUCGAAAAAAGAAUAUCUCCAUUGAACCAAGGCACCAAUCACAAGAGUGAGAUUACUUUUCUUUAAAGAACACAAGUGAUUUUCAAGGACAGGGGCAAUAAGGAAGGGAUAAGGAUUGUGGGUGAUAGUCUCCGAUGCUCAGAUGCUCAGUCUCAGGCCACGGUGACCACCAAUGAACUGAUGGAUCUGCAUCUUGAGCAACAGCAAGAUAUUAUGGAGGAGGAGGUCUUGUCUGCAGAGGAGAAAAAGGCGGAGGAAACUCUCACCUCAAAUGAGAUCAGGGAGAUGUGUAAAAUGUGGGAAACAGUGCAAUUCUGUAGAAAAGCACCACCUGAAUAAGGCUGUAGCAAUGAGAGCAAUGAACGUUUAACGACAAUGUAGUAUCACAUUUCCACGAAAUCCUCAAAAGGAGGCAAAAGCAAGUGUCACUGAAUAGGUUCCUUGUUAAAGCUGCACCAAAAGAAAAAGAUUCCAUUGAGCCAAAAGACAGCAG
Herpailurus yagouaroundi (jaguarundi) is the source of this 2844-nucleotide long non-coding RNA. RefSeq lists it as uncharacterized. The transcript has 5 exons. The record is from RefSeq and is a predicted model, not a curated record. NCBI's taxonomy places the organism in Eukaryota, Metazoa, Chordata, Mammalia, Carnivora, Felidae.